RNAcentral lists this ribosomal RNA (456 nucleotides) under Enterococcus faecalis. RNAcentral describes it as "bacterial SSU rRNA". It matches the Rfam family "Bacterial small subunit ribosomal RNA", at positions 28 to 462 of the family's 1533-position model. Lineage: Bacteria; Bacillati; Bacillota; Bacilli; Lactobacillales; Enterococcaceae. The record is from RNAcentral.
GACGAACGCUGGCGGCGUGCCUAAUACAUGCAAGUCGAACGCUUCUUUCCUCCCGAGUGCUUGCACUCAAUUGGAAAGAGGAGUGGCGGACGGGUGAGUAACACGUGGGUAACCUACCCAUCAGAGGGGGAUAACACUUGGAAACAGGUGCUAAUACCGCAUAACAGUUUAUGCCGCAUGGCAUAAGAGUGAAAGGCGCUUUCGGGUGUCGCUGACGGAUGGACCCGCGGUGCAUUAGCUAGUUGGUGAGGUAACGGCUCACCAAGGCCACGAUGCAUAGCCGACCUGAGAGGGUGAUCGGCCACACUGGGACUGAGACACGGCCCAGACUCCUACGGGAGGCAGCAGUAGGGAAUCUUCGGCAAUGGACGAAAGUCUGACCGAGCAACGCCGCGUGAGUGAAGAAGGUUUUCGGAUCGUAAAACUCUGUUGUUAGAGAAGAACAAGGACGUUAGU